Long non-coding RNA from Chiroxiphia lanceolata (lance-tailed manakin), 709 nucleotides. RefSeq lists it as uncharacterized. Lineage: Eukaryota; Metazoa; Chordata; Aves; Passeriformes; Pipridae. The record is from RefSeq and is a predicted model, not a curated record. The transcript is spliced from 3 exons.
AAAGUGGUGCUCCAAGUGCCAAAGAAGUGUGGGAUUGGGAUGAAGAACUGAGCAGUGAUGGUACAAUUGGCUGUUUUCUCUUGACUGUAAUGGUAAGAGCUGCAGGAGUGCAAGGUGUGUGUUCCAGUCCCCAGCAUUUGGUUUGCACAUGUCCUGGUCAGACACAGGUCCAACUUCCUCAGUCCUUAACACAGUAGAAGGAGAAUGAAGGACUGGCACUGUUAAGGUGAUUGGUGUGACGGGGUUAAACUGGUAAAACAUUGAGUAAUUCCUCAGUUUGUCUAUUUACCAAACUAACCCAAACCUGUGCUAGGAAGAGACUGAGUGGAAAAGUUGAGGCAGAAAUGGAAUUGAAAACUGGGGAUAUUGACAUUGUAAUUGCUGAAACUCAGUGUGUCCAAGCAGCAGCUCUUGUUGUGCAGGGAAUAACUCCUGUCAGCAGCAAGGUCCUGACUGAAGUGGCAGCUGCAGUUGUUCCUGUGGUGUGGGCCAGUGGAACUCCAGGACAGUGGAAGAGGGCAGAACCUGAGAAAAUCUGGACAGCGGGAAGGAAGAAAAGAAGCCAUGUGACUCCUCCCUGAGCCCCAGACAGCCCAUGAACUGCCUUCCUGGGAAUGGUGGGACGGGCUGGACUCUGGAUUGCUCCCUCUGGAUGUGUGGCUCUCCCCUGCAGGAACUCCAGGAACUCCUGGUGCCGCCUGGGCCGAUG